RNAcentral lists this ribosomal RNA (468 nucleotides) under uncultured bacterium. Its description in RNAcentral is "partial 16S ribosomal RNA". It matches the Rfam family "Bacterial small subunit ribosomal RNA", at positions 28 to 507 of the family's 1533-position model. The record is from RNAcentral.
GACGAACGCUGGCGGCGUGCUUAACACAUGCAAGUCGAACGGAAAGGCCCUGCUUUUGUGGGGUGCUCGUGUGGCGAACGGGUGAGUAACACGUGAGUAACCUGCCCUUGACUUUGGGAUAACUUCAGGAAAUUGGGGCUAAUACCGGAUAGGAGCUCCUGCUGCAUGGUGGGGGUUGGAAAGUUUCGGCGGUUGGGGAUGGACUCGCGGCUUAUCAGCUUGUUGGUGGGGUAGUGGCUUACCAAGGCUUUGACGGGUAGCCGGCCUGAGAGGGUGACCGGCCACAUUGGGACUGAGAUACGGCCCAGACUCCUACGGGAGGCAGCAGUGGGGAAUAUUGCACAAUGGGCGGAAGCCUGAUGCAGCAACGCCGCGUGCGGGAUGACGGCCUUCGGGUUGUAAACCGCUUUCGCCUGUGACGAAGCGUGAGUGACGGUAAUGGGUAAAGAAGCACCGGCUAACUACGUG